This 1198-nucleotide long non-coding RNA is filed under the name Gossypium barbadense (sea-island cotton). RNAcentral's name for it is "long non-coding RNA (GBAR_LNC021499)". Lineage: Eukaryota; Viridiplantae; Streptophyta; Magnoliopsida; Malvales; Malvaceae. The record is from RNAcentral.
CUCAUCAGACCACUUUUAUUUCUACUUGAGCACCUGUCUCUACACAGUUUAGCCCUUCAGUAGACCUUCUUUCAAGGGGAUCUAUGACUUCUAAGGCAUAUUCCAAGGGAGUAAGUUCAACACUAAUGGCUAAAAGGAAACAAAAGGGUAUUUGUUAUUGGUGUGGAGCCAAAUACCACAUUGGUCACAAAUGUGUUAAAAGUCAACUUUACCAGAUGUUGUUAGAUUCACCUAGUGAAGAGGACACGAGGGAAUUUCUAGAAUGCUCAGAACAGCUGGAGAACCUUCUUAGGAGAGAGGAACAAAAAUAAGGGCAUGCGUUAUCCCUGUAUGCAAUUAAAAGAUCACAUGGUCCUCACACUAUGAAGUUUCAGGCAAAAAUAAGGACAACCAAAGUCAUAGUUCUGGUAGAUUCUGAAAGCACCCUUAACUUUUUAGACAUUAAAUUGGUGACUCGGUUUUUCGUAUCUAUUACGUAUCCAUAACAGUUAAGGGUUACUGUGGCUAAUGGCAAACAGUUGUUUACCAGGGGCACAUAUAAAGAUGUGGAACGGGCGGUUCAAGGAAUUUGUUUCACUGCUGACUUCAUGAUCUUACUGUAAUACCCUAUUUUGGCCCGGGUCUAAAACGCCCAAACAACAACGGGCCUAUAGGGCCCAAACUCUAAAACAGAACAGAGGCCCAACGUUUCCAGCACAGAGGAAACCCUAGAGGUCCUUCCACGUUCGCGCCGCAGCCGCAAGCUCCAAAUCUUUGCCUAAUCUUCACCUGCACAACAAGAAAAGAAACGAGAUAGAAUAUGGCAAGAAAAAUCUUUGAAAUCAUGAAAGAUACCAGAAGAUUUUGUUUACUUUUCUUGUUUCAUUGUUUGCUAUAAAAGCAAACUCAAUAUAUUGUAAACUGGGGGGAAAUUUAAUGUAAAAAAUAAAAAAUAUAGAGAGAAAAUACGGAGAAUACAAAGAAUUUUUUUGAAGGUGAAUCGAGUUUCUAUUUUUAUAUUUUCUAUUCUUUUGAUUUUUUUAUUUUAUAAGAAAAUAAUAUAAAAGAGGAGAGGGGUAAUACCUUCGAGGAUUGGCCGUUGAAACCACGUUCGCCUCGCUCAAAUCAGAGCUUGGUGGAACGCUGGGGAUCGGCUCGCCUGAGAACGACGGCGUUGAGAGCUGGGGUCGAAAAACCCUAGCAGAGGGUUCUUAAUUUU